Molecule: ribosomal RNA, 465 nt
Filed under: Vreelandella stevensii
Lineage: Bacteria; Pseudomonadati; Pseudomonadota; Gammaproteobacteria; Oceanospirillales; Halomonadaceae
Description: partial 16S ribosomal RNA
Rfam family: Bacterial small subunit ribosomal RNA
Source: RNAcentral
CCUACGGGGGGCAGCAGUGGGGAAUAUUGGACAAUGGGGGCAACCCUGAUCCAGCCAUGCCGCGUGUGUGAAGAAGGCCCUCGGGUUGUAAAGCACUUUCAGUGAGGAAGAACGCCUGGUGGUUAAUACCCAUCAGGAAAGACAUCACUCACAGAAGAAGCACCGGCUAACUCCGUGCCAGCAGCCGCGGUAAUACGGAGGGUGCGAGCGUUAAUCGGAAUUACUGGGCGUAAAGCGCGCGUAGGUGGCUUGAUAAGCCGGUUGUGAAAGCCCCGGGCUUAACCUGGGAACGGCAUCCGGAACUGUCAAGCUAGAGUGCAGGAGAGGAAGGUACAAUUCCCGGUGUAGCGGUGAAAUGCGUAGAGAUCGGGAGGAAUACCAGUGGCGAAGGCGGCCUUCUGGACUGACACUGACACUGAGGUGCGAAAGCGUGGGUAGCAAACAGGAUUAGAUACCCUUGUAGUC